UGUAAAGUGUCAAUAUCAGCCUGUUAAUCCGGAGCGGCUCCUCCCUCUCUUGUGUCGCGGGUUUUCUGAGGCCUCGACUGUGAACCUCUGCGAGCUGCCAGCGCGCUCACAGUAUUCCUGCAGCGGGGACGAGGAGGGUUGAGAAAGAGGCCACUGGACUUGGAGCGCAGCCAGGGCCAGCGAGGGUUUAAAGCUACGCACUGCUCACUGCGACCGGCUCCGCUAACCCAGUCUGACUGGGAUCACAAGCCAAUAGGGGGACAAUUACCCUGGGUACUGCCGAGUCACGCCGGCCAAAGUCUGGUGUGAGUCCAUGUGUGUCUCUUCAUCCCUGCUUCGCACCACCCAGUCUACAGGUAGAACAGAUCCAUGAAAUCAGCGGCCGAUGCAGACAGGAGUUCAGAUUUGGCGUCACCUGGGUGGCCACACAGUUACAGGCUCUCCGUGCAACUCCCCAUCACUGGGUCCCGGAGCUCCAG
Long non-coding RNA from Gasterosteus aculeatus aculeatus (three-spined stickleback), 479 nucleotides. The record is from Ensembl. Lineage: Eukaryota; Metazoa; Chordata; Actinopteri; Perciformes; Gasterosteidae.